This 472-nucleotide ribosomal RNA is filed under the name uncultured bacterium. Its description in RNAcentral is "bacterial SSU rRNA". It matches the Rfam family "Bacterial small subunit ribosomal RNA", at positions 355 to 825 of the family's 1533-position model. The record is from RNAcentral.
UGGGGAAUAUUGGACAAUGGGCGCAAGCCUGAUCCAGCCAUGCCGCGUGUGUGAAGAAGGUCUUCGGAUUGUAAAGCACUUUAAGUUGGGAGGAAGGGCAGUUACCUAAUACGUGAUUGUUUUGACGUUACCGACAGAAUAAGCACCGGCUAACUCUGUGCCAGCAGCCGCGGUAAUACAGAGGGUGCAAGCGUUAAUCGGAAUUACUGGGCGUAAAGCGCGCGUAGGUGGUUAGUUAAGUUGGAUGUGAAAUCCCCGGGCUCAACCUGGGAACUGCAUUCAAAACUGACUGACUAGAGUAUGGUAGAGGGUGGUGGAAUUUCCUGUGUAGCGGUGAAAUGCGUAGAUAUAGGAAGGAACACCAGUGGCGAAGGCGACCACCUGGACUGAUACUGACACUGAGGUGCGAAAGCGUGGGGAGCAAACAGGAUUAGAUACCCAAGUAGUCCCUGAGCGGGCUGGCAAGGCGCAU